CAGCCGCCGCGGUAACACGUAGGGUGCAAGCGUUAAUCGGAAUUACUGGGCGUAAAGCGUGCGCAGGCGGUUAUAUAAGACAGAUGUGAAAUCCCCGGGCUCAACCUGGGAACUGCAUUUGUGACUGUAUAGCUAGAGUACGGCAGAGGGGGAUGGAAUUCCGCGUGUAGCAGUGAAAUGCGUAGAUAUGCGGAGGAACACCGAUGGCGAAGGCAAUCCCCUGGGCCUGUACUGACGCUCAUGCACGAAAGCGUGGGGAGCAAACAGGAUUAGAUACCCGGGUAGUCCCUGUCUCUUAUAC
This 301-nucleotide ribosomal RNA is filed under the name uncultured bacterium. Its description in RNAcentral is "partial 16S ribosomal RNA". It matches the Rfam family "Bacterial small subunit ribosomal RNA", at positions 509 to 807 of the family's 1533-position model. The record is from RNAcentral.